RNAcentral lists this ribosomal RNA (253 nucleotides) under uncultured bacterium. RNAcentral describes it as "partial 16S ribosomal RNA". It matches the Rfam family "Bacterial small subunit ribosomal RNA", at positions 524 to 776 of the family's 1533-position model. The record is from RNAcentral.
UACGAGAGGUGCAAGCGUUAUUCGGAAUUAUUGGGCGUAAAGGGUGCGUAGACGGUAUAUUAAGUCAACUGUUAAAUUCUUCGGCCUAACCGGAGAUCAGCGGUAGAAACUGAUAUGCUAGAGGAUGGAAGAGAGAAGUGGAAUUCUCGGAGUAGCGGUAAAAUGCGUAGAUCUCGAGAGGAACACCGAUGGCGAAGGCAGCUUCUUGGUCCAUUCCUGACGUUGAGGCACGAAAGCGUGGGGAGCAAACAGG